CUGGGCACUCGUUUGGGGUCCGCCACCGCCGAGUGACUUGUCGCGUGGACCCAAACUGUCACGAUUCUCGCCACCGUCCCCCCUUCCCCCCCCGCCGUGCACGCCACGGUUCUCUUCCGGCGCCGACCACAUCCGGCCGUGUGUGUCAACUCUUGACCUCGCUGCUCCCAUUUCAGGAUGGUCUGCAGGCGCCCUAGGGAGGUCGCGGCCCGCGCAGCCUCUCUCCGCACCCCUUCCCGGCCCCGCGGCUCCCUCGGAGCGAGCUUCUGAAGAUCCACAAAGCGCUUGAGUGAUUUCUGUAACUGCUUGUUAGACAUCCAGAGGCGCGCAGCUGAACUUGAUUUGAUACGCCUUGCUUCCUUCCAUGUGAGCUGUAGGGCUUGGGUCCCACAGGACACCCCAGCAGACCCAACCUCACAGCAGCAAGUCCAGCAGAAAGACAGCUUCUCUUUGGCAAGCAUUCCUGCAAGCCCUGGGCCUGGCUCACUGGCAGGGUGGGUCACCUGUGCGUUCUGUUCUCCCAGUCACUGUGACCCCAUGGUGGGUCAGUUCUCUCUGAUACCUUCUCAUCCCCCAUAGGGAACAUGUGGCGGUUGCUGCUGGAUCCCUUCUGUGUCACGGGGACUAACGGUGACUCGAGGGCACCAUCUCAAACCAUUUCCCCAUACAACAUGCUACACCACUGCUUCACUUUGCUGCAGCCCUCCUGGGUGGCACAGGGCAUCCUGUAGGGCAGAGUUCCAAACAGGAAGUGGGGCACAGGGCCCUCUCUGUUCACAGCUUUCUCCUCAGCCUAUCUGGGAUUUCUCUGUUUGUACCAUACCCCUCCCUAGGUCAAAACUUGGUGGAAAGUGGCCUCAGACCCCUCAGGGAACCAGGUACCCUCGUCUCCCUGGACUCGUCCUCUCCAGUCUCUUUCCUCACAUUCCCUGUGCCCUGAGGGCUUCUACGCUACCUUCCAUUCUGGAGAAGGCGUCCCCUCCCUGCUCCCUGUGGACUUUGGGUUCGGAGUGGUCCCCACCCUGCCCUGCCUCUGGGGCAGUAACACCUCGUGGCUGAGCUGCAAAGGAGGAAAAGGCUCAAGGAAAGAAAAAGAAAAUUUCCUCCAGGGAAAAUAUAUCGGGAGAAGCACUUAAAGACCAUUCCGCCCAUUAAAUCUCUUUUCUCUGCGGUUGUUGAGGAGCUAGGAUGUUGGCCCGAAGCAGCUGGUGGCCGUCUGGCCAGCACCUGGGGAGGCUGUGCCAGAGGAAAGCAGAGUCGAGAGAUGGGCAGCUUUCUGUCGUGCCUGAAGCGGGGACCUAGAUUUUUCAAGUGUAUGCCCAAUAUACCCCCCACUUACCCCCAAGCAAAUUAGAAUUGUUUUUCUGUCACUUGCAAGCAAGAGGGUCCUGAGCAGUACAAACCCACAGCACAGUGCCUGGCACAUUGGUUUCUGCAAAACAGUAAUCAUGAUUUCAAAUCAUCAUCGUUUGUCAUCUGAUAGAGGAGCUAGUGAUGGCCAUCGAUGGCUGUAAAACAGUAGAAAUGACAAAGUGCGGUGCCACUGGCUCAUAAGCUUGGUCUCCCCUUCUAUUCCCAGCCUGCCCCUUUGUCCUGUGCACGCACAUCUUGGCCCCAGGGAAACGCUCAGCCUUCACUGAAAGCUGAACCCACCCAUCUUAUACAAAUAGUCCCAGGCUCACUCAAGUCAUGAAUAUUCUGCUAGGCAGCAUUUGCUUCCCUUUU
Long non-coding RNA from Equus asinus (donkey), 1725 nucleotides. Lineage: Eukaryota; Metazoa; Chordata; Mammalia; Perissodactyla; Equidae. The record is from Ensembl.